This 253-nucleotide ribosomal RNA is filed under the name uncultured bacterium. RNAcentral's name for it is "partial 16S ribosomal RNA". It matches the Rfam family "Bacterial small subunit ribosomal RNA", at positions 524 to 776 of the family's 1533-position model. The record is from RNAcentral.
UACGUAGGGUGCAAGCGUUACUCGGAAUUACUGGGCGUAAAGGGUGCGUAGGUGGUUUGUUAAGUCUGCUGUGAAAUCCCCGGGCUCAACCUGGGAAUGGCAGUGGAUACUGGCAAGCUAGAGUGCGGUAGAGGGUAGUGGAAUUCCCGGUGUAGCAGUGAAAUGCGUAGAGAUCGGGAGGAACACCAGUGGCGAAGGCGGCUACCUGGACCAGCACUGACACUGAAGCACGAAAGCGUGGGGAGCAAACAGG